This 265-nucleotide long non-coding RNA is filed under the name Pogona vitticeps (central bearded dragon). RNAcentral's name for it is "lncRNA (ENSPVIG00000015323.1)". The record is from RNAcentral. Lineage: Eukaryota; Metazoa; Chordata; Lepidosauria; Squamata; Agamidae.
AACAGCUGACCUCUGCCUUGCCUUGAGAUUCAUAUUUAUUCCCCUAUCCUUUUCUAACUUAGCCAUUGUCUGUUCUUUGUUUACAGCACUCUGGUGUACCAGAAAAUACGAUUUAAAGAACCAUACAAUCUGGAAGCAAUUCUGUCCGGUGGUUGGAAACACGAGGAGGUCUACCAGGAGGGGCCAUUGGUGGAGGAACGUCACGUGACUGAGGGGUGCCAAUGUUAUUCUUUAAGGGUGUCAAGACCCUGUCAGUUUGUGAAAU